UCGCUUGCCGAAGCCUAUGCAACCCUCACGGGGUCCGCGACUAUAAACAUAGGAUGCAAGUCGCGAUAGCGGCAACAUAAUCGAAUUGCGGGGAUCUCCUAAAGCCUAGCAGUACCAACACCCUCCAGAAAUGCAGGGUGGGCCAGCGUUAAUCACGCUGGAGGUCAGAAUCUGCGAGGAUGCCACAAUGGAUAAUCCGCAGCGAAGCCCCUAACGGCGCCAGCCUACGGGGAACGUUCACAGACUAAGUGGUUGUGGGUAGGCUCGUCCUGCUUAAGAUAUAGUCGGGCCCUGUAGGAAACUACAGGGACUAACCGUUCCGUAGGUGAACCUGCGGAAGGAUCAUUA
RNAcentral lists this non-coding RNA (348 nucleotides) under fungal sp. mh2202.2. Its description in RNAcentral is "partial 18S ribosomal RNA". The stretch from base 15 to 308 matches the Rfam family "Group I catalytic intron". Rfam says of the family: Group I catalytic introns are large self-splicing ribozymes. The record is from RNAcentral. Lineage: Eukaryota; Fungi.